GAUGAACGCUGGCUACAGGCUUAACACGUGCAAGUCGAGGGGCAGCAUUUCAGUUUGCUUGCAAACUGGAGAUGGCGACCGGCGCACGGGUGAGUAACACGUAUCCAACCUGCCGAUAACUCGGGGAUAGCCUUUCGAAAGAAAGAUUAAUACCCGAUGGUAUAAUCAGACCGCAUGGUCUUGUUAUUAAAGAAUUUCGGUUAUCGAUGGGGAUGCGUUCCAUUAGGCAGUUGGUGAGGUAACGGCUCACCAAACCUUCGAUGGAUAGGGGUUCUGAGAGGAAGGUCCCCCACAUUGGAACUGAGACACGGUCCAAACUCCUACGGGAGGCAGCAGUGAGGAAUAUUGGUCAAUGGGCGCAGGCCUGAACCAGCCAAGUAGCGUGAAGGAUGACUGCCCUAUGGGUUGUAAACUUCUUUUAUAUGGGAAUAAAGUUUUCCACGUGUGGAAUUUUGUAUGUACCAUAUGAAUAAGGAUCGGCUAACUCCGUGCCAGCAGCCGCGGUAAUACGGAGGAUCCGAGCGUUAUCCGGAUUUAUUGGGUUUAAAGGGAGCGUAGGUGGACAGUUAAGUCAGUUGUGAAAGUUUGCGGCUCAACCGUAAAAUUGCAGUUGAUACUGGCUGUCUUGAGUACAGUAGAGGUGGGCGGAAUUCGUGGUGUAGCGGUGAAAUGCUUAGAUAUCACGAAGAACUCCGAUUGCGAAGGCAGCUCACUGGACUGCAACUGACACUGAUGCUCGAAAGUGUGGGUAUCAAACAGGAUUAGAUACCCUGGUAGUCCACACAGUAAACGAUGAAUACUCGCUGUUUGCGAUAUACAGUAAGCGGCCAAGCGAAAGCAUUAAGUAUUCCACCUGGGGAGUACGCCGGCAACGGUGAAACUCAAAGGAAUUGACGGGGGCCCGCACAAGCGGAGGAACAUGUGGUUUAAUUCGAUGAUACGCGAGGAACCUUACCCGGGCUUAAAUUGCAUUUGAAUAUAUUGGAAACAGUAUAGCCGUAAGGCAAAUGUGAAGGUGCUGCAUGGUUGUCGUCAGCUCGUGCCGUGAGGUGUCGGCUUAAGUGCCAUAACGAGCGCAACCCUUAUCUUUAGUUACUAACAGGUCAUGCUGAGGACUCUAGAGAGACUGCCGUCGUAAGAUGUGAGGAAGGUGGGGAUGACGUCAAAUCAGCACGGCCCUUACGUCCGGGGCUACACACGUGUUACAAUGGGGGGUACAGAAGGCAGCUACCUGGUGACAGGAUGCUAAUCCCAAAAGCCUCUCUCAGUUCGGAUCGAAGUCUGCAACCCGACUUCGUGAAGCUGGAUUCGCUAGUAAUCGCGCAUCAGCCAUGGCGCGGUGAAUACGUUCCCGGGCCU
Molecule: ribosomal RNA, 1359 nt
Filed under: uncultured bacterium
Lineage: Bacteria
Description: bacterial SSU rRNA
Rfam family: Bacterial small subunit ribosomal RNA
Source: RNAcentral